This 247-nucleotide long non-coding RNA is filed under the name Phoenix dactylifera (date palm). RNAcentral's name for it is "long non-coding RNA (PDAC_LNC000811)". Lineage: Eukaryota; Viridiplantae; Streptophyta; Magnoliopsida; Arecales; Arecaceae. The record is from RNAcentral.
CUGCUCAUACGAAACGUUUCCUACAUUGUAAAUGUGCAGCUGGCCAUUAUCUGGGUAGUCCAAGAGUCAUCAAGUAAGCUGAUCGAAAGAACUCUACUCUGCAAAGAAUUCUCCCUUUCAUAUUGUUAUCUCUCUAUUCUGAUUUAAGCAUCAGAGGGGUUUUGCCGAAAAUUUUCCGACAAAAGGACUUCUUGUAGAUAAUCGCCAGAGAAGAUUAGUACUUACCCACCUCGAUUAUUUUAUUAAA